AGAUUGAACGCUGGCGGCAGGCCUAACACAUGCAAGUCGAGCGGUAGAGAGGUGCUUGCACCUCUUGAGAGCGGCGGACGGGUGAGUAAUGCCUAGGAAUCUGCCUAGUGGUGGGGGAUAACGUUCGGAAACGGACGCUAAUACCGCAUACGUCCUACGGGAGAAAGCGGGGGACCUUCGGGCCUCGCGCCAUUAGAUGAGCCUAGGUCGGAUUAGCUAGUUGGUGAGGUAAUGGCUCACCAAGGCGACGAUCCGUAACUGGUCUGAGAGGAUGAUCAGUCACACUGGAACUGAGACACGGUCCAGACUCCUACGGGAGGCAGCAGUGGGAAUAUUGGACAAUGGGCGAAAGCCUGAUCCAGCCAUGCCGCGUGUGUGAAGAAGGUCUUCGGAUUGUAAAGCACUUUAAGUUGGAGAAGGUUGUAACUUAAUACGUUGCAACUUUGACGUUACGACAGAAUAAGCACGGCUAACUUCGUGCCAGCAGCCG
RNAcentral lists this ribosomal RNA (490 nucleotides) under uncultured soil bacterium. RNAcentral's name for it is "bacterial SSU rRNA". It matches the Rfam family "Bacterial small subunit ribosomal RNA", at positions 26 to 517 of the family's 1533-position model. The record is from RNAcentral.